This 217-nucleotide unclassified non-coding RNA is filed under the name Hevea brasiliensis (rubber tree). Lineage: Eukaryota; Viridiplantae; Streptophyta; Magnoliopsida; Malpighiales; Euphorbiaceae. The record is from RNAcentral.
UGUCUAUUUUACAGAUAGCAGCACCAAGUACCAAAGAAGGAACUAUAUGCUGCUGGUUUACUCAGCAGAAGAUAGUGGGAGGGUCUUGAAGUACAAUUCUAAUACUAAACAAACCACUGUUCUUGUUCGGAAUCUCCAAUUCCCAAACGGUCUGUCACUAAGCAAGGACGGUUCCUUCUUUGUAUUCUGUGAAGUUGCCAAGGGAAGAUUACAGAAG